RNAcentral lists this ribosomal RNA (253 nucleotides) under uncultured bacterium. RNAcentral describes it as "partial 16S ribosomal RNA". It matches the Rfam family "Bacterial small subunit ribosomal RNA", at positions 524 to 776 of the family's 1533-position model. The record is from RNAcentral.
UACAGAGGUCUCAAGCGUUGUUCGGAUUCAUUGGGCGUAAAGGGUGCGUAGGCGGCGCGGUAAGUCGGGUGUGAAAUCUCGGAGCUUAACUCCGAAACUGCAUUCGAUACUGCCGUGCUUGAGGACUGGAGAGGAGACUGGAAUUUACGGUGUAGCGGUGAAAUGCGCAGAUAUCGGGAGGAACACCAAUGGCGAAGGCAGCUCGCUGGGACGGUACUGACGCUGAGGCGCGAAAGCGUGGGGAGCAAACAGG